UAGGGAAUAUUGCUCAAUGGGCGAAAGCCUGAAGCAGCAACGCCGCGUGGAGGAUGAAGGUCUUAGGAUUGUAAACUCCUUUUGUGAGAGAAGAUUAUGACGGUAUCUCACGAAUAAGCACCGGCUAACUCCGUGCCAGCAGCCGCGGUAAUACGGAGGGUGCAAGCGUUACUCGGAAUCACUGGGCGUAAAGAGCGCGUAGGCGGGGUGGUAAGUCAGAUGUGAAAUCCUGUAGCUUAACUACAGAACUGCAUUUGAAACUACCACUCUAGAGUAUGGGAGAGGUAGGUGGAAUUCUUGGUGUAGGGGUAAAAUCCGUAGAGAUCAAGAGGAAUACUCAUUGCGAAGGCGACCUGCUGGAACAUUACUGACGCUGAUGCGCGAAAGCGUGGGGAGCAAACAG
This 403-nucleotide ribosomal RNA is filed under the name uncultured bacterium. RNAcentral describes it as "bacterial SSU rRNA". It matches the Rfam family "Bacterial small subunit ribosomal RNA", at positions 355 to 775 of the family's 1533-position model. The record is from RNAcentral.